AUUGAACGCUGGCGGCAUGCUUUACACAUGCAAGUCGAACGGUAACAGGCCGCAAGGUGCUGACGAGUGGCGAACGGGUGAGUAAUGCAUCGGAACGUGCCCAGUCGUGGGGGAUAACUACUCGAAAGAGUAGCUAAUACCGCAUACGAUCUAUGGAUGAAAGCGGGGGACCGUAAGGCCUCGCGCGAUUGGAGCGGCCGAUGUCAGAUUAGGUAGUUGGUGGGGUAAAGGCUCACCAAGCCAACGAUCUGUAGCUGGUCUGAGGGGACGACCAGCCACACUGGAACUGAGACACGGCCCAGACUCCUACGGGAGGCAGCAGUGGGGAAUUUUGGACAAUGGGCGCAAGCCUGAUCCAGCAAUGCCGCGUGCAGGAAGAAGGCCUUCGGGUUGUAAACUGCUUUUGUACGGAACGAAACGGCUCUGGUUAAUACCCGGGGCUAAUGACGGUACCGUAAGAAUAAGCACCGGCUAACUACGUG
This 482-nucleotide ribosomal RNA is filed under the name uncultured bacterium. RNAcentral's name for it is "partial 16S ribosomal RNA". It matches the Rfam family "Bacterial small subunit ribosomal RNA", at positions 30 to 507 of the family's 1533-position model. The record is from RNAcentral.